RNAcentral lists this long non-coding RNA (1049 nucleotides) under Anolis carolinensis (green anole). Its description in RNAcentral is "lncRNA (ENSACAG00000045262.1)". Lineage: Eukaryota; Metazoa; Chordata; Lepidosauria; Squamata; Anolidae. The record is from RNAcentral.
AUCUAUGGCGGAGAAAACCUCAACCGGAGUUAAAUGGACGGGAGGGAGAGAGAGAGAUUGCAUGCAAGGGAGGGAGUCAGAGAAAAGAUACAAAAUAACCAGAUAGAGAGUGUUAUUGUUAAAAUAAAUGCUACUUUUAUUGGGGGGAUUUGUUACAUAGUUCAGGGAAGGGGAAAAUGAAGAAAAAAAAAGUCUUUUAAUAAUAGUCUGCUGCGGUCCCGCUUUGUUCCUUUGGAGAGUAACCUGCGGAACUCUCCGCUGCGUUUUUUAAUUAAUUUAAAAGCCGGGGUUUCGGUCAUCAGAUCCAGUUUAAGUAGCACCUAUGGGUACAGUUCAGUGUAGACUCAGAUAAUUCAGUUCAAAACAAUAACAUAGGCCCAUUCUACAUUGCCAUAUAAAAUCCAGAUUAUCAACUUUUGAACUGGAUUAUAUGUCAGUGUAGGCUCAGGUAAUCCAAUUUAAAGCAGAUAAUGUGGAUGAUCUGCUUUGAUAAUAUGGAUUAUAUGGCAGUGUAGAAAGGGUCGUAGAUUAUCUGCUUUCAUAAUCUGGGUUAUUUGGCAGUUUAGAAGGGGCUUAUAUGGGACUUUCCAGUCUCAUGUUUCCUACACCAAAGGAGACCUAAGCAUUCUUUGGCAUUGUCACCUGCACAGUUGUACACAAUUUCUCCAAAUGUCAUCCAUUUGUCAUGUGCAAGUGUUGUAUUUUGUUUUGUUUUACCAUUUUUUCCCCAAUCAAAUACACGUGGAUCCAAAAAAUGUCUCAACAGAUCUGUUGGAUGUUGGAGUGGGCAGAGUGUACCUUUUUUGUUCCAAAAAUAUCCUGUGCCUCAGUGAGGGACAAAACAUGAUGCACCGAAGAGGAUUAAUUUACCCGGAUUUUUGAUAACUGUGUCCUGCUGUGGGGAAAUCAGUUUUAUUUUUCAAUGAGAAGAAAACUAGCAAAUACCCCAUAAUAUAAGACAUAUGUAUGUUUUGUUCAACUUUAUAUGAUUGUGGUUUGCUUUUUUUUCACCAGGAGUCGUCUGAAUCUGAACAAUCCAGUGUAACACA